RNAcentral lists this long non-coding RNA (313 nucleotides) under Pan troglodytes (chimpanzee). RNAcentral's name for it is "long non-coding RNA NONPTRT015482". The record is from RNAcentral. Lineage: Eukaryota; Metazoa; Chordata; Mammalia; Primates; Hominidae.
GUAGGGGCCUCCCCGCGGCGCCUGAGAGCCGGGUCCGCGCGCAGAGGCCCUGGGGGCGCGCGUGCCGGGGGCGCGCUGGCCAGCUGUGACUGCCGCUGAGGGAGCUGCGCGGCGCCUCUGGGAGCCGAGCGCCGGGCGCCUGGAGGGCAGGUCGGGUCUCUUGCCGCUAAGGUCAGCGGCUGCGGUUUGAGAAGACUGCAGCUGCUUCCUGUGUUAGGCUGUCGCAGACAAGCAGAAGUUGAAAACGAGUAAAUGACUUAAAGAGAUGGGGUCUCACUAUGUUGCCCAGGGUUACUGCCAUACUUGUGGAUUG